RNAcentral lists this ribosomal RNA (305 nucleotides) under uncultured bacterium. RNAcentral describes it as "bacterial SSU rRNA". It matches the Rfam family "Bacterial small subunit ribosomal RNA", at positions 335 to 654 of the family's 1533-position model. The record is from RNAcentral.
UCGCCUACGGGGGGCAGCAGUGGGGAAUCUUCCGCAAUGGGCGAAAGCCUGACGGAGCAAUGCCGCGUGAGUGAAGAAGGGUUUCGGCUCGUAAACUUCUAUCAACAGGGACGAAAGAAAUGACGGUACCUGAAUAAGAAGCCCCGGCUAACUACGUGCCAGCAGCCGCGGUAAUACGUAGGGGGCAAGCGUUAUCCGGAAUUACUGGGUGUAAAGGGUGAGUAGGCGGCAUGGUAAGCCAGAUGUGAAAGCCUUGGGCUUAACCCGAGGAUUGCAUUUGGAACUAUCAAGCUAGAGUACAGGAG